This 77-nucleotide transfer RNA is filed under the name Candidatus Omnitrophota bacterium. Its description in RNAcentral is "tRNA-Arg". It matches the Rfam family "tRNA". From Rfam's summary of the family: Transfer RNA (tRNA) molecules are approximately 80 nucleotides in length. Their secondary structure includes four short double-helical elements and three loops (D, anti-codon, and T loops). Lineage: Bacteria; Pseudomonadati; Candidatus Omnitrophota. The record is from RNAcentral.
GCGCCCGUAGAUCAAUUGGAUAGAUCAUCUGUCUACGGAACAGAAGGUUAGAGGUUCAAAUCCUCUCGGGCGCGCCA